CAGCCUGAUGCAGCCAUGCCGCGUGUAUGAAGAAGGCCUUCGGGUUGUAAAGUACUUUCAGUCGUGAGGAAGGCGUUGUCGUUAAUAGCGGCAUCGUUUGACGUUAGCGACAGAAGAAGCACCGGCUAACUCCGUGCCAGCAGCCGCGGUAAUACGGAGGGUGCGAGCGUUAAUCGGAAUUACUGGGCGUAAAGCGCAUGCAGGUGGUUUGUUAAGUCAGAUGUGAAAGCCCGGGGCUCAACCUCGGAAUAGCAUUUGAAACUGGCAGACUAGAGUACUGUAGAGGGGGGUAGAAUUUCAGGUGUAGCGGUGAAAUGCGUAGAGAUCUGAAGGAAUACCGGUGGCGAAGGCGGCCCCCUGGACAGAUACUGACACUCAGAUGCGAAAGCGUGGGGAGCAAACAGGAUUAGAUACCCUGGUAGUCCACGCCGUAAACGAUGUCUACUUGGAGGUUGUGGCCUUGAGCCGUGGCUUUCGGAGCUAACGCGUUAAGUAGACCGCCUGGGGAGUACGGUCGCAAGAUUAAAACU
Molecule: ribosomal RNA, 530 nt
Filed under: Vibrio neonatus
Lineage: Bacteria; Pseudomonadati; Pseudomonadota; Gammaproteobacteria; Vibrionales; Vibrionaceae
Description: bacterial SSU rRNA
Rfam family: Bacterial small subunit ribosomal RNA
Source: RNAcentral